Molecule: non-coding RNA, 1012 nt
Organism: Misgurnus anguillicaudatus (oriental weatherfish)
Lineage: Eukaryota; Metazoa; Chordata; Actinopteri; Cypriniformes; Cobitidae
Source: RefSeq, a predicted model, not a curated record
UUAAUGGCCCUUGAAUUGUAUGACUCUUACGUUUUGUUUUUUUCGUCCAAGUCACGUGACUUUCAAGCUACCGGCCUUGAGAACAAAAAAUAUGGCGGACAUUCUCUCAUUUUUAGUGGAAAAAUCUAUAUUUUGAGUUAGUUUCUGAAUAAAAAGAAGUUUUGAUUACAUUUCUAGCGAGAAAUAUAUAUUUUAUUUUCAUAAUAUUCACUCAGUGAAUUUACAUAAUCAUCGCUUGCUCGAUUUUACGCAGAUUUUUCAGAUCUCGCCAGAAUAAUGUGAAACUGAUACGUUUUGGUUGCUAUGGACACUGCCAGGGCUCGUCACAUGACGUCUUUACAGACUUUAUUAAAACCGCGUUCAGCUACAGGUAAAACAACAUUCAGAGGUGAUUUUAACAACGCUCCACGGCGCGUGAGAGUAAGCAUUUUAAGCGUUUUCUGAUCAUGUAGGUGUGCCACUGUGGGUGGCUCCGCCCCUGCCGUGACCCAAAUUCUCGUUCGCACAUCAUCGCGAUGUUUAUCAUCAAUUUACAAACCUCGCCAGUCGCCUCAUCUUUGUUUUGACCAGUUAUGUCAGGAAGCUGCAACUAUUUCAAAGCAUCUUGAAAUGAAAGCUGACAAUGCUGAACUUGAAGCAGCUACCAGGGAGGCUGAAGAAAUUCUACAAAUGUUUAAUCCUCCACUGCUGAAAAAGAAGACCAAACGAGCGAUUUCCUGGACUCAACAGACACAGUGAACUUUGCACUGCAUUUCAAAGCCAGCUUCUCAGCCGCAACACCGAGAACCAGAGUUGAAGUCAAUGUACUGCUGAGAAAGUGCAAGAUCUAUUUAACCAAAAAUAUAGUAAGCAUAUGUCCAAACACUUUUUAAGUCUUGAUAACCUAAUAUACCUUCAUGUUUUCAUGGCAUUAUUAUCAAAUCAAUAACUUAUUUGUGUCCAUCAACCAUAAGAUUAUGACACAUUACCGACUGUUUACAGCCUGUACACUGGAUAUUAACAGGAUGGGAGA